AGAGUUUGAUCAUGGCUCAGAAUCAACGCUGGCGGCGUGCCUAACACAUGCAAGUCGAACGAGAAAGGGUAGCAAUACCUGAGUAAAGUGGCGCACGGGUGAGUAACACGUGACUAACCUACCCUGGAGUGGGGGAUAACUGAGGGAAACCUUAGCUAAUACCGCAUAACACCUACGGGUCAAAGGAGCAAUUCGCUUCAGGAGGGGGUCGCGGCCGAUUAGUUAGUUGGCGGGGUAAUGGCCCACCAAGACAGUGAUCGGUAUCCGGCCUGAGAGGGCGCACGGACACACUGGAACUGAAACACGGUCCAGACUCCUACGGGAGGCAGCAGUGGGGAAUUUUGCGCAAUGGGGGAAACCCUGACGCAGCAACGCCGCGUGGAGGAUGAAGUACUUCGGUACGUAAACUCCUUUCGAUCGGGACGAUUAUGACGGUACCGGAAGAAGAAGCCCCGGCUAACUUCGUGCCAGCAGCCGCGGUAAUACGAGGGGGGCAAGCGUUGUUCGGAAUUAUUGGGCGUAAAGGGUGCGUAGGCGGUUUUGUAAGUCUUGUGUGAAAUCUUCAGGCUCAACUUGAAGACUGCACGAGAAACUGCAGGGCUUGAGUGUGGGAGAGGUGAGUGGAAUUCCUGGUGUAGCGGUGAAAUGCGUAGAUAUCAGGAGGAACACCUGUGGCGAAAGCGGCUCACUGGACCACAACUGACGCUGAUGCACGAAAGCUAGGGGAGCAAACAGGAUUAGAUACCCUAGUAGUCC
RNAcentral lists this ribosomal RNA (756 nucleotides) under uncultured bacterium. RNAcentral describes it as "bacterial SSU rRNA". It matches the Rfam family "Bacterial small subunit ribosomal RNA", at positions 8 to 796 of the family's 1533-position model. The record is from RNAcentral.